ACGUAUCGUUAUUUGGUGGUCUUUCUUACAUGGAUAACCGUGGUAAUUCUAGAGCUAAUACAUGCGCCCAGACCCGACUUCUUGGAAGGGUUGUGUUUAUUAGAUACAGAACCAAUCCACGCCCGGCCUGGUCCUUUGGUGAUUCAUAAUAACCGAACGAAUCGCAUUGCGUUUGCUGGCGAUGAAUCAUUCUUGUUACCGACCUAUCUUCUUACGACGGGAGGUUGUUGACCUACGGUGUCAAUGACGAGUAACAAAUAAUUAUGGUUUUAUUUCAGAGAGGCAGCCUAAAAGGCGGCUACCUCAUCGAAGGAAGGCAGCAGGCCCACUAAUUACCCCCUCCUGACGGAGGGAGGUAGUGACAAUAAAUAACAAGGCGGGGCCUCCCUGUCUUGUUGUUGGAAUGAGAAUUAUUUAACUCUCUUUAUGAGUAUCUGUAGGGGGGGUUUGGUGUAAUAUA
RNAcentral lists this ribosomal RNA (460 nucleotides) under uncultured marine picoeukaryote. Its description in RNAcentral is "bacterial SSU rRNA". It matches the Rfam family "Eukaryotic small subunit ribosomal RNA", at positions 112 to 572 of the family's 1831-position model. The record is from RNAcentral.